GCCUGGCUGGCUCAGCAGGUGGAGCAGGAGACCCCUGAUCUCGGAGUUGUGAGUUCGAGCCCCAUGUUGGGUG
This 73-nucleotide transfer RNA is filed under the name Felis catus (domestic cat). It matches the Rfam family "tRNA". From Rfam's summary of the family: Transfer RNA (tRNA) molecules are approximately 80 nucleotides in length. The record is from Rfam by way of RNAcentral. Lineage: Eukaryota; Metazoa; Chordata; Mammalia; Carnivora; Felidae.